UACAGAGACGGCGAGCGUUGUUCGGAUUCAUUGGGCGUAAAGGGUUCGCAGGCGGUGGAGUAAGUCUGAUGUGAAAUCCCGCGGCUUAACCGCGGAACUGCAUCGGAAACUACUUUGCUAGAGGAUGGUAGAGGAGACUGGAAUUCUCGGUGUAGCGGUGAAAUGCGUAGAUAUCGAGAGGAACACCGGUGGCGAAGGCGAGUCUCUGGGCCAUUCCUGACGCUCAGGAACGAAAGCGUGGGGAG
Molecule: ribosomal RNA, 245 nt
Filed under: uncultured bacterium
Lineage: Bacteria
Description: partial 16S ribosomal RNA
Rfam family: Bacterial small subunit ribosomal RNA
Source: RNAcentral